Molecule: non-coding RNA, 156 nt
Organism: Musca domestica (house fly)
Lineage: Eukaryota; Metazoa; Arthropoda; Insecta; Diptera; Muscidae
Source: Rfam
UAGUAUUUCGUCCAUAACUAAAACCAUUGAGUUCUUCCUAGUGAAUUCCUUGGUAUUCGAUUGGACUACAAAAAACUCCAUGAUUGACUAUUCCUCUUAAGGAUAUCGGCUCAAAGAUAUAAACCUUAAUAAAGUGAAAAUCAACAGCACCUAUAA